CUACGGGAGGCAGCAGUGGGGAAUAUUGCACAAUGGGCGCAAGCCUGAUGCAGCGACGCCGCGUGGGGGAUGACGGCCUUCGGGUUGUAAACCUCUUUCACCUAUGACGAAGCGAGAGUGACGGUAGUAGGAGAAGAAGCACCGGCCAACUACGUGCCAGCAGCCGCGGUAAUACGUAGGGUGCGAGCGUUGUCCGGAAUUACUGGGCGUAAAGAGCUCGUAGGUGGUUUGUCGCGUUGUCCGUGAAAACUCACAGCUUAACUGUGGGCGUGCGGGCGAUACGGGCAGACUGGAGUACUGCAGGGGAGACUGGAAUUCCUGGUGUAGCGGUGGAAUGCGCAGAUAUCAGGAGGAACACCGGUGGCGAAGGCGGGUCUCUGGGCAGUAACUGACGCUGAGGAGCGAAAGCGUGGGGAGCGAACAGGAUUAGAUACCCUGGUAGUCC
This 445-nucleotide ribosomal RNA is filed under the name uncultured bacterium. RNAcentral's name for it is "bacterial SSU rRNA". It matches the Rfam family "Bacterial small subunit ribosomal RNA", at positions 339 to 796 of the family's 1533-position model. The record is from RNAcentral.